GCCCGGAUGGCGCAGUGGCUAACGCACCUGCCUAGUAAGCAAGGAAUCCUGGGUUCGAAUCCCGGUCUGGCACA
This is a non-coding RNA of Schistocerca piceifrons (Central American locust), 74 nucleotides long. Lineage: Eukaryota; Metazoa; Arthropoda; Insecta; Orthoptera; Acrididae. The record is from the annotation of a RefSeq genome assembly.